This 253-nucleotide ribosomal RNA is filed under the name uncultured bacterium. RNAcentral's name for it is "partial 16S ribosomal RNA". It matches the Rfam family "Bacterial small subunit ribosomal RNA", at positions 524 to 776 of the family's 1533-position model. The record is from RNAcentral.
UACGGAGGGUGCGAGCGUUGUCCGGAAUUACUGGGCGUAAAGCGUGCGCAGGCGGUGAUGUAAGACAGAUGUGAAAUCCCCGGGCUCAACCUGGGAACUGCAUUUGUGACUGCAUCGCUGGAGUGCGGCAGAGGGGGAUGGAAUUCCGCGUGUAGCAGUGAAAUGCGUAGAUAUGCGGAGGAACACCGAUGGCGAAGGCAAUCCCCUGGGCCUGCACUGACGCUCAUGCACGAAAGCGUGGGGAGCAGACAGG